AGUGAACGCUGGCGGUAGGCCUAACACAUGCAAGUCGAACGGCAGCACAGGAGAGCUCGCUCUCUGGGUGGCGAGUGGCGGACGGGUGAGGAAUACAUCGGAAUCUACUCUGUCGUGGGGGAUAACGUAGGGAAACUUACGCUAAUACCGCAUACGACCUACGGGUGAAAGCAGGGGACCUUCGUGCCUUGCGCGAUUGAAUGAGCUGAUGUCGGAUUAGCUAGUUGGCGGGGUAAAGGCCCACCAAGGCGACGAUCCGUAGCUGGUCUGAGAGGAUGAUCAGCCACGCUGGAACUGAGACACGGUCCAGACUCCUACGGGAGGCAGCAGUGGGGAAUAUUGGACAAUGGGCGCAAGCCUGAUCCAGCCAUACCGCGUGGGUGAAGAAGGCCUUCGGGUUGUAAAGCCCUUUUGUUGGGAAAGAAAUCCAGCUGGCUAAUACCCGGUUGGGAUGACGGUACCCAAAGAAUAAGCACCGGCUAACUUCGUGCCAGCAGCCGCCGUAA
RNAcentral lists this ribosomal RNA (506 nucleotides) under uncultured bacterium. RNAcentral describes it as "partial 16S ribosomal RNA". It matches the Rfam family "Bacterial small subunit ribosomal RNA", at positions 29 to 523 of the family's 1533-position model. The record is from RNAcentral.